UCAACGAUUCGAUUUAUUAUAAAAAUACAAUUUAUAAUGAAACUAUAUCGCUACAUUUUAUCUUUCACUAUAGUAACAAUCUUUUGCUUUGUCGGGUUCAUGUAUCUAAUGAUUCAAGUAGACCCAGAUUUAAGAAAUAUACCGAAUAAGGCUGCUCGUAUGAUGGAAUAUUAUUCACGGGAAGAUGUUACAAAUGAAUUGCCUUCGCCAGAAAUAUAUAUUGAUAUGAAUACUCAUAGAAAUGUAUUCAACACUACUUGGAGAAAUAUUAUCUGGUAACAUAAGUGAAAAGAGACCACGGUCUGCCUAAUAAAUAAUUUAAAAGUA
Pieris brassicae (large cabbage white) is the source of this 327-nucleotide long non-coding RNA. RefSeq lists it as uncharacterized. The transcript has 2 exons. The record is from RefSeq and is a predicted model, not a curated record. Lineage: Eukaryota; Metazoa; Arthropoda; Insecta; Lepidoptera; Pieridae.